GAUCCUGGACUCAGGAUGAACGCUAGCUACAGGCUUAACACAUGCAAGUCGAGGGGAAACGACAUCGAAAGCUUGCUUUUGAUCGGGCGUCGACCGGCGCACGGGUGAGUAACGCGUAUCCAACCUGCCCACCACUUGGGGAUAACCUUGCGAAAGUAAGACUAAUACCCGAUGAUAUCCCUAGAAGACAUCUGAAAGGGAUUAAAGAUUUAUCGGUGAUGGAUGGGGAUGCGUCUGAUUAGCUGUUGCGGGUAACGGCCCACCAAGGCAACGAUCAGUAGGGGUUCUGAGAGGAAGGUCCCCCACAUUGGAACUGAGACACGGUCCAAACUCCUACGGGAGGCAGCAGUGAGGAAUAUUGGUCAAUGGGCGAGAGCCUGAACCAGCCAAGUAGCGUGCAGGAUGACGGCCCUAUGGGUUGUAAACUGCUUUUAUAAGGGAAUAAAGUGAGUCUCGUGAGACUUUUUGCAUGUACCUUAUGAAUAAGGACCGGCUAAUUCCGUG
RNAcentral lists this ribosomal RNA (504 nucleotides) under uncultured bacterium. RNAcentral's name for it is "bacterial SSU rRNA". It matches the Rfam family "Bacterial small subunit ribosomal RNA", at positions 15 to 507 of the family's 1533-position model. The record is from RNAcentral.